GCCAGCAUGGAGUAAUGGUUUUAGCAUUGGACUAAGGCUCUGGAGACCAGAGUUCGAAUCCCUGCUUGGCC
Non-coding RNA from Phrynosoma platyrhinos (Desert horned lizard), 71 nucleotides. NCBI's taxonomy places the organism in Eukaryota, Metazoa, Chordata, Lepidosauria, Squamata, Phrynosomatidae. The record is from the annotation of a GenBank genome assembly.